AUUGAACGCUGGCGGCAGGCCUAACACAUGCAAGUCGAACGGUAACAGGAAGCAGCUUGCUGCUUCGCUGACGAGUGGCGGACGGGUGAGUAAUGUCUGGGAAACUGCCUGAUGGAGGGGGAUAACUACUGGAAACGGUAGCUAAUACCGCAUAACGUCGCAAGACCAAAGAGGGGGACCUUAGGGCCUCUUGCCAUCGGAUGUGCCCAGAUGGGUUUAGCUAGUAGGUGGGGUAACGGCUCACCUAGGCGACGAUCCCUAGCUGGUCUGAGAGGAUGACCAGCCACACUGGAACUGAGACACGGUCCAGACUCCUACGGGAGGCAGCAGUGGGGAAUAUUGCACAAUGGGCGCAAGCCUGAUGCAGCCAUGCCGCGUGUAUGAAGAAGGCCUUCGGGUUGUAAAGUACUUUCAGCGGGGAGGAAGGGAGUAAAGUUAAUACCUUUGCUCAUUGACGUUACCCGCAGAAGAAGCACCGGCUAACUCCGUG
This 490-nucleotide ribosomal RNA is filed under the name uncultured bacterium. RNAcentral's name for it is "partial 16S ribosomal RNA". It matches the Rfam family "Bacterial small subunit ribosomal RNA", at positions 30 to 507 of the family's 1533-position model. The record is from RNAcentral.